This 229-nucleotide ribosomal RNA is filed under the name uncultured bacterium. Its description in RNAcentral is "partial 16S ribosomal RNA". It matches the Rfam family "Bacterial small subunit ribosomal RNA", at positions 104 to 334 of the family's 1533-position model. The record is from RNAcentral.
CGGGGUGAGUAAUGUAUGGGGAUCUGCCUGAUGGCGGGGGAUAACUACUGGAAACGGUAGCUAAUACCGCAUAAUGUCUGCGGACCAAAGCGGGGGACCUCCGGGCCUCGCGCCAUCAGAUGAACCCAUAUGGGAUUAGCUAGUAGGUAAGGUAACGGCUCACCUAGGCGACGAUCCCUAGCUGGUCUGAGAGGAUGACCAGCCACACUGGAACUGAGACACGGCCCAG